GGUAAUACGGAGGGUCCAAGCGUUAUCCGGAUUUAUUGGGUUUAAAGGGUACGUAGGCGGAGUUUUAAGUCAGUAGUGAAAGCCCAUCGCUUAACGAUGGAACUGCUAUUGAUACUGAUACUCUUGAAUAUAGUUGAAGUGGGCGGAAUACGGCAUGUAGCGGUGAAAUGCAUAGAUAUGCCGUGGAACACCAAUCGCGAAGGCAGCUCACUAAGCUAUUAUUGACGCUAAUGUACGAAAGCGUGGGUAGCGAACAGGAUUAGAUACCCUGGUAGUCCACGCCGUAAACGAUGAUUACUCGGUGCUGGCGAUAUACAGUCAGUGCCUAAGCGAAAGUGAUAAGUAAUCCACCUGGGGAGUACGAUCGCAAGGUUGAAACUCAAAGGAAUUGACGGGGGCCCGCACAAGCGGUGGAGCGUGUGGUUUAAUUCGAUGAUACGCGAGGAACCUUACCUGGGCUUAAAUGCAUAAUGACAGGCUGAGAAAUCAGUUUUUCUUCGGACAGAAUGCAAGGUGCUGCAUGGCCGUCGUCAGCUCGUGCUGUGGAGGGUGUCGGGUUAAGUCCCAUAACGAGCGCAACCCCUAUUUCUAGUUGCCAGCACAUAAAUGGUGGGGACUCUAGAGAAACUGCCCGCGC
Molecule: ribosomal RNA, 637 nt
Filed under: uncultured Flavobacteriia bacterium
Lineage: Bacteria; Pseudomonadati; Bacteroidota; Flavobacteriia
Description: SSU rRNA
Rfam family: Bacterial small subunit ribosomal RNA
Source: RNAcentral